Molecule: ribosomal RNA, 468 nt
Filed under: uncultured bacterium
Lineage: Bacteria
Description: partial 16S ribosomal RNA
Rfam family: Bacterial small subunit ribosomal RNA
Source: RNAcentral
GACGAACGCUGGCGGCGUGCUUAACACAUGCAAGUCGAACGGAAAGGCCCUGCUUUUGUGGGGUGCUCGAGUGGCGAACGGGUGAGUAACACGUGAGUAACCUGCCCUUGACUUUGGGAUAACUUCAGGAAACUGGGGCUAAUACCGGAUAGGAGCUCCUGCUGCAUGGUGGGGGUUGGAAAGUUUCGGCGGUUGGGGAUGGACUCGCGGCUUAUCAGCUUGUUGGUGGGGUAGUGGCUUACCAAGGCUUUGACGGGUAGCCGGCCUGAGAGGGUGACCGGCCACAUUGGGACUGAGAUACGGCACAGACUCCUACGGGAGGCAGCAGUGGGGAAUAUUGCACAAUGGGCGGAAGCCUGAUGCAGCAAUGCCGCGUGCGGGAUGACGGCCUUCGGGUUGUAAACCGCUUUCGCCUGUGACGAAGCGUGAGUGACGGUAAUGGGUAAAGAAGCACCGGCUAACUACGUG